Molecule: ribosomal RNA, 497 nt
Filed under: uncultured bacterium
Lineage: Bacteria
Description: partial 16S ribosomal RNA
Rfam family: Bacterial small subunit ribosomal RNA
Source: RNAcentral
GAUGAACGCUGGCGGCGUGCCUAAUUCAUGCAAGUCGAGCGAACAGAUGAGGAGCUUGCUCCUCUGACGUUAGCGGCGGACGGGUGAGUAACACGUGGAUAACCUACCUAUAAGACUGGGAUAACUUCGGGAAACCGGAGCUAAUACCGGAUAAUAUAUUGAACCGCAUGGUUCAAUAGUGAAAGACGGGUUUGCUGUCACCUAUAGAUGGAUUCGCGCCGCAUUAGCUAGUUGGUAAGGUAACGGCUUACCAAGGCAACGAUGCGUAGCCGACCUGAGAGGGUGAUCGGCCACACUGGAACUGAGACACGGUCCAGACUCCUACGGGAGGCAGCAGUAGGGAAUCUUCCGCAAUGGGCGAAAGCCUGACGGAGCAACGCCGCGUGAGUGAUGAAGGUCUUCGGAUCGUAAAACUCUGUUAUUAGGGAAGAACAAAUGUGUAAGUACCUAUGCACGUCUUGACGGUACCUAAUCAGAAAGCCACGGCUAACUACGUG